UGUGAAUACCCGCCGCUGAAAAGCCCAUCAUAAAACGAAUCUAUCAUCGUCAAAAGCUCUAAUCUGAGAACCCCAAUGAAAAUUAAGCAACGGAGAGCGAAGUCGUCUCCUGAUUCUCCUCCAUUCAUUACUAGUUGAACUUGGCUAUAACAUGCGUAGAUUGUUUGUUCAGGCAUGGCGGCAGAAGAUUAAGCGGCAAUUCAGACUGAUAAAAGCUUCGAGGAAGAGAAUUGACCGAAGAGUGAUAAAAUGAAAGUGUUGAAAGGAAGAAGAAAGAGAAAUGCUACACCGUUAUGGAGUGCAAACAUGAAUUCAAGUGAUAAAAAGACGGAAAAAUGAAUAAGAAAAAGGCCAAUUCUUACUAGAAGCAAACAAGAAAUCUGAUUCAACCACAGUGAUGUUAAUGGUGUAUUAGAAGAAUUGCAGUUAGGGAGUGAAAACACAAGGUUUUUGCCCACAAUUAAGGUUGUAUGAAUUUUACCUAUUCAUCAUAACAUAGACAUAGAAUUCAUCAGCUA
Molecule: long non-coding RNA, 518 nt
Organism: Ipomoea nil (Japanese morning glory)
Lineage: Eukaryota; Viridiplantae; Streptophyta; Magnoliopsida; Solanales; Convolvulaceae
Exons: 2
Source: RefSeq, a predicted model, not a curated record